RNAcentral lists this transfer RNA (84 nucleotides) under Chlamydiales bacterium. RNAcentral describes it as "tRNA-Leu". It matches the Rfam family "tRNA". Rfam says of the family: Transfer RNA (tRNA) molecules are approximately 80 nucleotides in length. Their secondary structure includes four short double-helical elements and three loops (D, anti-codon, and T loops). The record is from RNAcentral. Lineage: Bacteria; Pseudomonadati; Chlamydiota; Chlamydiia; Chlamydiales.
GCGGAAGUGGCGGAAUUGGUAUACGCGCUACCUUGAGGUGGUAGUGGAGGAAACUCCUUGGGGGUUCAAGUCCCCCCUUUCGCA